GAUGAAGAACGUAGCGAAAUGCGAUACUUGGUGUGAAUUGCAGAAUCCCGUGAACCAUCGAGUCUUUGAACGCAAGUUGCGCCCGAAGCCAUCAGGUUGAGGGCACGUUUGCCUGGGCGUCACAUAUCGUUGCCCAAUGCCUAUUGCAGUGCAAUAGGAAUUUCUAGGGCGAAUGAUGGCUUCCCGUGAGCGUUGUUGCCUCGCGGUUGGUUGAAAAUCGAGUCCUUGGUAGGGUGUGCCAUGGUAGAUGGUGGUCGAGUUAGAACGAUACCGAUCAUGUGCAUGCUCCCCAAAAUAUGGCCUCUAUGACCCACACGCGUCUUUUGACGCUCAUGACGAGACCUCAGGUCAGGCGGGGCUACCCGCUGAAUUUAAGCAUAUCAAUAAGCGGAGGA
RNAcentral lists this unclassified non-coding RNA (395 nucleotides) under soil metagenome. RNAcentral describes it as "partial contains 5.8S ribosomal RNA, internal transcribed spacer 2, and large subunit ribosomal RNA". The stretch from base 1 to 122 matches the Rfam family "5.8S ribosomal RNA", at positions 35 to 154 of the family's 154-position model. The record is from RNAcentral.